GACGAACGCUGGCGGCGUGCUUAACACAUGCAAGUCGAACGGAAAGGCCCUGCUUUUGUGGGGUGCUCGAGUGGCGAACGGGUGAGUAACACGUGAGUAACCUGCCCUUGACUUUGGGAUAACUUCAGGAAACUGGGGCUAAUACCGGAUAGGAGCUCCUGCUGCAUGGUGGGGGUUGGAAAGUUUCGGCGGUUGGGGAUGGACUCGCGGCUUAUCAGCUUGUUGGUGGGGUAGUGGCUUACCAAGGCUUUGACGGGUAGCCGGCCUGAGAGGGGGACCGGCCACAUUGGGACUGAGAUACGGCCCAGACUCCUACGGGAGGCAGCAGUGGGGAAUAUUGCACAAUGGGCGGAAGCCUGAUGCAGCAACGCCGCGUGUGGGAUGACGGCCUUCGGGUUGUAAACCGCUUUCGCCUGUGACGAAGCGUGAGUGACGGUAAUGGGUAAAGAAGCACCGGCUAACUACGUG
RNAcentral lists this ribosomal RNA (468 nucleotides) under uncultured bacterium. RNAcentral describes it as "partial 16S ribosomal RNA". It matches the Rfam family "Bacterial small subunit ribosomal RNA", at positions 28 to 507 of the family's 1533-position model. The record is from RNAcentral.